RNAcentral lists this ribosomal RNA (465 nucleotides) under uncultured Klebsiella sp. Its description in RNAcentral is "bacterial SSU rRNA". It matches the Rfam family "Bacterial small subunit ribosomal RNA", at positions 338 to 795 of the family's 1533-position model. Lineage: Bacteria; Pseudomonadati; Pseudomonadota; Gammaproteobacteria; Enterobacterales; Enterobacteriaceae. The record is from RNAcentral.
CCUACGGGGGGCAGCAGUGGGGAAUAUUGCACAAUGGGCGCAAGCCUGAUGCAGCCAUGCCGCGUGUGUGAAGAAGGCCUUCGGGUUGUAAAGCACUUUCAGCGGGGAGGAAGGCGUUAAGGUUAAUAACCUUGGCGAUUGACGUUACCCGCAGAAGAAGCACCGGCUAACUCCGUGCCAGCAGCCGCGGUAAUACGGAGGGUGCAAGCGUUAAUCGGAAUUACUGGGCGUAAAGCGCACGCAGGCGAUCUGUCAAGUCGGAUGUGAAAUCCCCGGGCUCAACCUGGGAACUGCAUUCGAAACUGGCAGGCUAGAGUCUUGUAGAGGGGGGUAGAAUUCCAGGUGUAGCGGUGAAAUGCGUAGAGAUCUGGAGGAAUACCGGUGGCGAAGGCGGCCCCCUGGACAAAGACUGACGCUCAGGUGCGAAAGCGUGGGGAGCAAACAGGAUUAGAUACCCUUGUAGUC